This 26-nucleotide transfer RNA is filed under the name Ateles paniscus (red-faced black spider monkey). Its description in RNAcentral is "partial tRNA-Ser". Lineage: Eukaryota; Metazoa; Chordata; Mammalia; Primates; Atelidae. The record is from RNAcentral.
CCAAGCUUAACAACUUGGCUUUUUCA